RNAcentral lists this ribosomal RNA (440 nucleotides) under uncultured bacterium. Its description in RNAcentral is "partial 16S ribosomal RNA". It matches the Rfam family "Bacterial small subunit ribosomal RNA", at positions 339 to 795 of the family's 1533-position model. The record is from RNAcentral.
CUACGGGCGGCAGCAGCAGGGAAUAUUGCACAAUGGACGGAAGUCUGAUGCAGCGACGCCGCGUGGAUGAUGAAGGCCCUCGGGUUGUAAAAUCCUUUUCAGGGGGACGAGGAAGGACGGUACCCUUGGAAUAAGCGUCGGCUAACUACGUGCCAGCAGCCGCGGUAAGACGUAGGACGCAAGCGUUAUCCGGAUUUACUGGGCGUAAAGCGUCUGUAGGCGGAAUGGUAAGUUGGACGUGAAAGCUCCGGGCUCAACCCGGAGAGGUCGUUCAAUACUGCCAAACUAGAGGGCAUCAGAGGAGCGUGGAAUUUCCGGUGUAGCGGUAAAAUGCGCAGAUAUUGGAAGGAACACCAAUGGCGAAGGCAGCGCUCUGGGAUGAACCUGACGCUAAGAGACGAAAGCUAGGGGAGCGAACAGGAUUAGAUACCCUAGUAGUC